GCCUGGAGGUCACCAUGGUACCUUGUGUACAUGGAUCCAUAUUUUGGUUCACUACCUAAGUUGGUUCUUUGAUCCUUGUAUGGGAUAUUCUGGAUAUGGUAAAGUAUACAUAGAGGUUAUGAGUAAUCAAUAAGGGAUCAUCACUCCUAAUAAGGAGAGCGAACAUCCUAUGUGAUCUCAUAGGUCGGUGAUUCGAAAGUCUUUGAUCAAAGCAGGAUGAUAAUUAGAAAUUUUUUUUUAAUAUAUUAUUAAUUGAAUCAUCACCUUU
RNAcentral lists this long non-coding RNA (268 nucleotides) under Elaeis guineensis (African oil palm). RNAcentral describes it as "long non-coding RNA (EGUI_LNC056822)". Lineage: Eukaryota; Viridiplantae; Streptophyta; Magnoliopsida; Arecales; Arecaceae. The record is from RNAcentral.